Molecule: ribosomal RNA, 421 nt
Filed under: uncultured bacterium
Lineage: Bacteria
Description: partial 16S ribosomal RNA
Rfam family: Bacterial small subunit ribosomal RNA
Source: RNAcentral
AAUAUUGGACAAGGGGCGAAAGCCUGAUCCAGCCAUGCCGCGUGUGUGAAGAAGGUCUUCGGAUUGUAAAGCACUUUAAGUUGGGAGGAAGGGCAGUCAGCUAAUACCUUGCGGGUUUGACGUUACCGACAGAAUAAGCACCGGCUAACUUCGGGCCUGCAGCCGCGGUAAUACGAAGGGUGCAAGCGUUAAUCGGAAUUACUGGGCGUAAAGCGCGCGUAGGUGGUUUGUUAAGUUGGAAGUGAAAGCCCCGGGCUCAACCUGGGAACUGCUUUCAAAACUGGCAAGCUAGAGUAUGGCAGAGGAUGGUGGAAUUUCCUGUGUAGCGGUGAAAUGCGUAGAUAUAGGAAGGAACACCAGUGGCGAAGGCGACUACCUGGACUGAUACUGACACUGAGGUGCGAAAGCGUGGGGAGCAAAC